GGAGGGUGCAAGCGUUGUUCGGAAUCACUGGGCGUAAAGGGCGUGUAGGCGGUCCGCUAAGUCUGAUGUGAAAGCCCGAGGCUUACCCUCGGAAGUGCAUUGGAGACUGGCGGACUGGAGUCCCGGAGAGGAGGGUGGAAUUCCUGGUGUAGCGGUGAAAUGCGUAGAUAUCAGGAGGAACACCGGUGGCGAAGGCGGCCCUCUGGACGGUGACUGACGCUGAGACGCGAAAGCGUGGGGAGCAAACAGGAUUAGAUACCCUGGUAGUCCACGCCGUAAACGAUGGGUGCUAGUUGUUAGGAAGUUUACUUCUUAGUGACGUAGCUAACGCGUUAAGCACCCCGCCUGGGGAGUACGGUCGCAAGAUUA
This 369-nucleotide ribosomal RNA is filed under the name uncultured bacterium. Its description in RNAcentral is "bacterial SSU rRNA". It matches the Rfam family "Bacterial small subunit ribosomal RNA", at positions 527 to 896 of the family's 1533-position model. The record is from RNAcentral.